UGUUCUUCACGAGUCUCUGCGGUCAUCAUUGUGCCAUCAGACACAAUGAGAAGCUCAUCAGAAAAUGCAAUAUAAUGUGUAAUUUGUAUUUGUGUAUAGAGGAGAAGGGUAUUCCUGCACAACAGGCUGCAGUUUCAGGACCGCAUUUCUAGGACCGCAGUUCUAGGACCCUAGUUUUUCGUGACAGCGCCACCUACCGUACUGGAUCAACACUAAUUAAAGAUGGACAACGUGGACAGCAAUCAGACGUGAAGUGGAAGAAUUUAAUAGAAAGAUUGACAAACAACUGAGGAAAGAAGGGAGACCAUUCAAUUGAGUUGAAGCCUACAGCCAUUCUAUCCAUGCAGCAACUGAUGGAAAAGGGGUUCGCUUUGGUGCUGUUGUCGCAAAAAUGACAUAUAUAUUAUAUAUAUAUAAUAUAUAUAUAAAUAAACAUUCGUGAAUCAUUCUUGUGUCUUGUCUUGCCUCUCAACAACCUUUAAAAUAUCGGCUGUAAUUUAGUGACUGCAUACGCUGAUUCCAACUUUAACUUACCUGAUAAUGAGCUAAUUCACUUUAAGGGGGUUAAUCAAUAUACUGUAUAAUUCAAGAGACUAAGACUUUUAAAGUUCUCCAUUUUUUACAAUUGUUUUAAAAUUGAUAUACAAUUUUCAUUUAUAUUUUGUGUAAAUUCAUGUUUAAAUUUAAAAUUGUGACUCAAAGCACACUUAGUAAUUAACCUCUGCUGCAUUUUGAAUCAAAAAUCACAUUUAAAAACAAAUACUACUGAGAUUAAUAUAUUGAUGCUAUAUACAAACAUGACUACAAACUACCAACAGGGCCCUAGAACUGCGGUCCUGAAACUGCAGCCAUCGCUAUAUCAUCCAGUACGGUAGGUGGCGCUGUCACGAAAAACUAGGGUCCUAGAACUGCGGUCCUAGAUCUGCGGUCCUGAAACUGCAGCCUCCGGUUGUGCAGGAACAUACUAUUGG
This is a long non-coding RNA of Megalobrama amblycephala (Wuchang bream), 971 nucleotides long. RefSeq lists it as uncharacterized. The record is from RefSeq and is a predicted model, not a curated record. The transcript is spliced from 3 exons. NCBI's taxonomy places the organism in Eukaryota, Metazoa, Chordata, Actinopteri, Cypriniformes, Xenocyprididae.